UAACACGUAGAUAAUCUAUCCUAUACUGGGGGAUAGCCCGAUGAAAGUUGGAUUAAUACCGCAUAUAGCUAUAUAGUUGCAUGAUUAUGUAGUGAAAGAUUUAUUGGUAUAGGAGGAGUCUGCGGCACAUUAGCUAGUAGGUGAGGUAAAGGCUUACCUAGGCGACGAUGUGUAGCCGGUCUGAGAGGAUGAACGGCCACAAUGGAACUGAGACACGGUCCAUACUCCUACGGGAGGCGGCAGUGGGGAAUAUUGCACAAUGGGGGAAACCCUGAUGCAGCAACGCCGCGUGAGUGAAGAAGGUUUUCGGAUUGUAAAGCUCUGUUAGCAGGGAAGAGGAAGGACGGUACCUGCAGAGGAAGCCACGGCUAACUACGUGCCAGCAGCCGCGGUAAUACGUAGGUGGCAAGCGUUGUUCGGAAUAACUGGGCGUAAAGGAUGCGUAGGCGGUUAAACAAGUUAUAUGUUAAAUAUAUAGGCUUAACCUGUAGAAAGCAUAUAAAACUGUUUAACUAGAGUGCAGGAGAGGUAAGUGGAAUUCCUAGUGUAGCGGUGAAAUGCGUAGAGAUUAGGAAGAACACCAGUGGCGAAGGCGACUUACUGGACUGUAACUGACGCU
Molecule: ribosomal RNA, 619 nt
Filed under: uncultured bacterium
Lineage: Bacteria
Description: bacterial SSU rRNA
Rfam family: Bacterial small subunit ribosomal RNA
Source: RNAcentral